Molecule: long non-coding RNA, 2390 nt
Organism: Melospiza georgiana
Lineage: Eukaryota; Metazoa; Chordata; Aves; Passeriformes; Passerellidae
Exons: 3
Source: RefSeq, a predicted model, not a curated record
CGCCCCCGAAAGAGCCUUAGCCCCGCCCCCAAUUGGAUUUUUUAAUCAACGGAAACCAAAAAUACAACCCCGGGGGGGAGGGGGGGGGCAGGGCCACACCUGUGACAUCACGGGGGAGGGGCCAGGUGCGUCUGGGGGGGUCCCAGGUGGAUUUGGGGGAUCCAGGUGGGAUUUUGGGCGGUCCCAGGUGGGAUUUUGGGUGGUCCCAGGUGGAUUUGGGGGAUCCAGGUGGGAUUUUGGGCGGUCCCAGGUGGGAUUUUGGGUGGUCCCAGGUGAUUUUUGGGGGUUCCAGGUGGGAUUUUGGGGGCAUCGAGGUGUUCCUGGGCGUGUCCAGGUGGGUUUUUGGAGAUUCCAGGUGGGCUUUGGGGUGAUCCAGGUGUCCUUGGGGGAGACUCAGGUGUCCCGGAGCCAUUCCCAGGUGUUUUUGGGGUGAUCCAGGUGCUCCUGAGGGCUCCAGGUGUGCUCGGGAGGAGUCCAGGUGUUCCUGGGAGGGUUUCAGGUGUCCCGGGGGCAGUUCCAGGUGUUUUUGGGAGGGAUCCAGGUGUUUUUGGGGUGUCCCCGGUGCUUUCUGGGGACAUCCAGGUGGGUCUGGAGGGAUCCAGGUGUGUUGGGCAGGUGCAGGUGCCCAGGUGUGCUGGGAACUGGUGAUCCAGCUGUGCAGGAACCCGAACAUCUGGGCGGGCUGGAACUCAGGUGUGAGGGAUCCAGGUGACAUGGGAUGGGUGGGACCCGGUUAUCCAGGUGUGAUGUCACCUGGUUAUGACAUCACCCACCCAUCCAGGUGUGACGUCACCUCUCCACCUCUCCCCACUCAGGUGUGGCGUCACCCGGCUAUGACGUCACCCCCACCCAGGUGUGACGUCACCAGCUCACCUCGCCAUGACAUCACCUGCCCACAUCCCCCCCUCCUGCCCAGGUGUGACGUGACCCCUGCCAGGUGUGACGUCAUCCAGGUGUGACAUCAUCCAGGUGUGACGUCAUCCAGGUGUGUGACCUCCAGGCUCACCUGGGCGUGACAUCACCGUUGUACCCAGCUGUCCCCGCCCCCCUCACCUGUCCACACCCCGAGGCGUGAUGUCACCAAGCCCACCAGGUGUGAUGUCACCUGCGCCACCAGGUGUGAUGCCACCUGUGCCACCAGGUGUGAUGUCACCUGUGCCACCAGGUGUGAUGAUGUCACACCUGUGACAUCGCCCUGAGUACCCCCUGUGUCCCUGCACCCGCCCAGGCGUGACAUCACCUGUGCCCAGGUGUCACUCAGGUGUCACUCAAGUGUCACUCAGGUGUGACAUUGCCUGUCCAGAUGUCACUCAGGUGUUACAGGUGUGACAGUACCUGUACCCAGGUGUCACUCCGGUGUGCCAGGUGUCACUCAGGUGUCACAGGUGUUACAGGUGUGGCAGUAUCUGUACCCAGGAGUCACUCAGGUGUGCCAAGUGUCACCCAGGUGUCACUCAGGUGUGCCAAGUGUUACAGGUGUGACAUUACCUGUACCCAGGGUGUCACUCAGGUGUCUCAGGUGGGACAUUACCUGCACUCAGGUGUCACUCAGGUGUCCCAGGUGUCACUCAGGUGUCACAGUGUGUCACUCAGGUGUGGCAGUCCCCGCACAGGUGCCGCAGGGUCUCACGAAGCUGUCCCUCCACAUGCAGGAUCUCUCACAGGUGUCACAGGUGUGACAGUACCUGUACCCAGGUGUCACUCAGGUGUCACUCAGGUGUGCCGGGUGUCCUUGCACAGGUGCCGUGGUGUCUCACGAAGCUGUCCCUCCACAUGAAGGACCUGUCGCAGGUGUGACAGGUGUCACAGGUGUGACAGUAUCUGUGCCCAGGUGUCACAGGUGUGUCACUCAGGUGUCCCCACACAGGUGCUGCUGUGCCAGACGAAGCUGUCCCUCCACAUGAAGGAGCGGUGGCAGGUGUGGCAGGUGUGACAGUAUCUGUACCCAGGUGUCACUCAGGUGUCACUCAGAUGUGCCGGGUGUCCCCGCACAGGUGCCGCGGUGUCUCACGAAGCUGUCCCUCCACAUGAAGGACCGGUGGCAGGUGUGGCAGGUGUGACAGUAUCUGUGCCCAGGUGUCACAGGUGUCACUCAGGUGUGCCGGGUGUCACUCAGGUGUGCCGGCUGUCCCCGCACAGGUGCCGCGGUGCCGGACGAAGCUGUCCCUCCACAUGAAGAACCUGUCGCAGGUGUGCCAGGUGUCACAGGUGUGUCACUCAGGUGUCACUCAGGUGUCACAGGUGUGUCACUCAGGUGUCACUCAGGUGUCACAGGUGUGUCACUCAGGUGUGCCGGGUGUCACUCAGGUGUGCCGGCUGUCCCCGCACAGGUGCCGCGGUGCCUCACGAAGCUGUCCCUCCACAUGAAGGAGCGGUGGCAGGUGUGGCAG